RNAcentral lists this small nuclear RNA (134 nucleotides) under Amborella trichopoda. RNAcentral's name for it is "U4 spliceosomal RNA". It matches the Rfam family "U4 spliceosomal RNA". Rfam says of the family: U4 small nuclear RNA (U4 snRNA) is a component of the major U2-dependent spliceosome. The structure of U4 snRNA from yeast and human has been reported. U4 snRNA presents a k-turn RNA motif in the 5p-SL related to recognition of Snu13 protein. Lineage: Eukaryota; Viridiplantae; Streptophyta; Magnoliopsida; Amborellales; Amborellaceae. The record is from Rfam by way of RNAcentral.
AGUAUGGCGCUUGGGGCAAUGAUGCAAUGAGUGAGGUAAAACCAAUUCAUGUCCAUUGCUGGUUGAAAACUAUUUUCAAACCCCCUUAUUGGUUAGUGUCAGUUAUGUGUCGGGGUAUCGGGUCCAAAAUUGGG